ACUUAAAUUGAAGAGUUUGAUCAUGGCUCAGAUUGAACGCUGGCGGCAGGCCUAACACAUGCAAGUCGAGCGGCAGCGGGAAAGUAGCUUGCUACUUUUGCCGGCGAGCGGC
Molecule: ribosomal RNA, 112 nt
Filed under: Aeromonas veronii
Lineage: Bacteria; Pseudomonadati; Pseudomonadota; Gammaproteobacteria; Aeromonadales; Aeromonadaceae
Description: partial 16S ribosomal RNA
Rfam family: Bacterial small subunit ribosomal RNA
Source: RNAcentral